GUCACGAUCAGAAUGAAAGGUAGUUCGCUGGGUUUGUAUUUCAUUUCCUUUCCCAGAGGCGUUGGUUCGAAUCCAGCUCGUGACA
Molecule: transfer RNA, 85 nt
Filed under: Tetraena mongolica
Lineage: Eukaryota; Viridiplantae; Streptophyta; Magnoliopsida; Zygophyllales; Zygophyllaceae
Also listed under: 1 other name
Description: tRNA-Thr
Rfam family: tRNA
About the family: Transfer RNA (tRNA) molecules are approximately 80 nucleotides in length. Their secondary structure includes four short double-helical elements and three loops (D, anti-codon, and T loops).
Source: RNAcentral